ACUCCUACGGGAGGCAGCAGUAGGGAAUCUUCCACAAUGGGCGCAAGCCUGAUGGAGCAACACCGCGUGAGUGAAGAAGGGUUUCGGCUCGUAAAGCUCUGUUGUUAAAGAAGAACACGUAUGAGAGUAACUGUUCAUACGUUGACGGUAUUUAACCAGAAAGUCACGGCUAACUACGUGCCAGCAGCCGCGGUAAUACGUAGGUGGCAAGCGUUAUCCGGAUUUAUUGGGCGUAAAGAGAGUGCAGGCGGUUUUCUAAGUCUGAUGUGAAAGCCUUCGGCUUAACCGGAGAAGUGCAUCGGAAACUGGAUAACUUGAGUGCAGAAGAGGUAGUGGAACUCCAUGUGUAGCGGUGGAAUGCGUAGAUAUAUGGAAGAACACCAGUGGCGAAGGCGGCUACCUGGUCUGCAACUGACGCUGAGACUCGAAAGCAUGGGUAGCGAACAGGAUUAGAUACCCCUGGUAGGCUAGCG
Molecule: ribosomal RNA, 473 nt
Filed under: uncultured bacterium
Lineage: Bacteria
Description: bacterial SSU rRNA
Rfam family: Bacterial small subunit ribosomal RNA
Source: RNAcentral